GCCGAACAGCUAGCCUCAUCACCAAUAAGUCGACAAUAUAAGUAAGUAAGUAUAGCCUAACACAAUAAAUCAAACCAUUUUCCUCUAUCUUAGUAUGUGUGACAGAAAAGAUUCCAGAAGAGCAAUAGAGAAAGUACCGCAAGGGAAAGAUGAAAGAGAAAUGAAACAAUCCAUUUAAGCAGAAAAAAACAGGGGUGAAACCCCGUACCUUUUGCAUCAUGGUUUAGCCAGCACUAAUUAAGCAAAGGGAACUGCAGUUUAAUUUCCCGAAACCAGGUGAGCUACCCCGAGGCAGCCUACGCAUCUAGGGCUAACCCGUCUCUGUGGCAAAAGAGUGGGAAGAACUCCGGGUAGGGGUGACAGACCUAUCGAACCUGGUUAUAGCUGGUUGCCUAGGAAGUGGAUAGAAGUUCAGCCUAGUACACUCCAGAUUUAACAGAUUUUUAAAAAUAAAGGAAAACAUAUUAGAGUUAAUCAAAGGGGGAACAGCCCCUUUGAUAAAGGACACAACCUUAACAGGAGGAUAAAGAUCAUAGUUUUUAAGACAUAUUGUUUUGGUGGGCCUAAAAGCAGCCACCCAACAGAAAGCGUUAAAGCUCAAACAAAACGAAGUUAAUUAUACCAAUAAUAAAUUUUAGUCCCCUAAAAAUACUAGGCCACCCCAUGCCCAUCAUGGGAGGGACAAUGCUAAAAUGAGUAAAAAGAAGAUUAGAACUUCUCCUAGCACAAGUGUAAGUCGGAUCGGACUAACCGCCGACAACUAACGGGCCCAAUAAAGGAGGGAAUUGUGACUUAUAAAAAAAUCAAGAAAACCCCACUAUACUCACCGUUAUCCCCACACUGGAGUGCACCUAAGGAAAGACUAAAAGGAGAGAAAGGAACUCGGCAAACGCAAGUCUCGCCUGUUUACCAAAAACAUCGCCUCCUGCAAUUAACGGUAUAGGAGGUCAAGCCUGCCCGGUGACUAUUAGUUUAACGGCCGCGGUAUUCUGACCGUGCAAAGGUAGCGUAAUCACUCGUCCUUUAAAUAGGGUCAAGUAUGAAAGGCUAAACGAGGGCUUAACUGUCUCCCUCUCCCAGUCAGUGAAAUUGAUCUGUCCGUGCAGAAGCGGACAUGAUAAUACAAGACGAGAAGACCCUUUGGAGCUUCAGGUACAGGACUUAACCGUGUUGAAUAAGUUAAUAAAGACACCAACCCCUAACGGAACUAAGACUUUACCUUCGGUUGGGGCGACCAUGGAGCAAAGAGCAACCUCCAGGUGGAGUGGGGGAAACCCCUAGAACUAAGAUGAGCCAUCUCUAAGUCACAGAAAUUCUGACCAAAAAUGAUCCGGUCAUUUGACCGAUUAACGAACCAAGUUACCCCAGGGAUAACAGCGCAAUCCUCUCCCAGAGCCCAUAUCGACGAGGGGGUUUACGACCUCGAUGUUGGAUCAGGACAUCCUAAUGGUGCAGCCGCUAUUAAGGGUUCGUUUGUUCAACGAUAAAAGUCCUACGUGAUCUGAGUUCAGACCGGAGCAAUCCAGGUCAGUUUCUAUCUGUAAAGCUACCUCUUCCCAGUACGAAAGGACAGGAAAAGGGGGGCCCAUACUCUAAGCAUGCCCCACCCCAAAUUAAUGAACAAAAAUUAAUUAAAGGAAGGAAAGCUACACUUUAGACCAAACUCUAGAUAAGAGCUA
Molecule: ribosomal RNA, 1679 nt
Filed under: Opsarius bernatziki
Lineage: Eukaryota; Metazoa; Chordata; Actinopteri; Cypriniformes; Danionidae
Description: 16S ribosomal RNA
Rfam family: Bacterial large subunit ribosomal RNA (bases 93-1593)
Source: RNAcentral